RNAcentral lists this unclassified non-coding RNA (674 nucleotides) under uncultured Prochlorococcus sp. RNAcentral's name for it is "partial may contain 16S ribosomal RNA, 16S-23S ribosomal RNA intergenic spacer, and 23S ribosomal RNA". The stretch from base 1 to 95 matches the Rfam family "Bacterial small subunit ribosomal RNA", at positions 1439 to 1533 of the family's 1533-position model. The record is from RNAcentral. Lineage: Bacteria; Bacillati; Cyanobacteriota; Cyanophyceae; Synechococcales; Prochlorococcaceae.
CCUUGUGGAGGAGGACGCCGAAGGUGGGGCUAAUGACUGGGGUGAAGUCGUAACAAGGUAGCCGUACCGGAAGGUGCGGCUGGAUCACCUCCUAACAGGGAGACAACAAAAUGUUAAAUAUUAAUUUUGUCACCUUAGGUCGAUCGGUAUCUCACAUUCUUAAUUGAUUUAAGAAUUUUAUUUCCUAAGUUUUUCUAGGUCACACCCAUCAUUUUUCCUGGGCCAUUAGCUCAGGUGGUUAGAGCGCACCCCUGAUAAGGGUGAGGUCCCUGGUUCAAGUCCAGGAUGGCCCAUAUCUCUAUGUUGGGGGUAUAGCUCAGUUGGUAGAGCGCCUGCUUUGCAAGCAGGAUGUCAGCGGUUCGAGUCCGCUUACCUCCACUGAUUACCACCUCUUCCAUGGUUUAUAAAAGGGAAAUUUUGAGUUGUGAUCAAAUUCUGAACGAAUCUAGCUUCCUAAUUAAACUUAUUAAGAUGCUGGACUCAUUGAAUUAUUUUCAUUGUUUUCAGAGAACCUUGACAACUGCAUAGAUUAUUUUUAAAGACAAUAAGCAUUUUAAUGAUGCAGAUUUAUUAUUUGUGCUAAUGCAUUAAUAACAAUUCUAUUAAGCUGAUGCUUCUAUUUUUGAAGUUAUUGGUCAAGCUACAAAGGGCUCACGGAGGAUACCUAGGCACAC